This 214-nucleotide unclassified non-coding RNA is filed under the name fungal sp. Its description in RNAcentral is "partial internal transcribed spacer region". The stretch from base 1 to 46 matches the Rfam family "Eukaryotic small subunit ribosomal RNA", at positions 1786 to 1831 of the family's 1831-position model. Lineage: Eukaryota; Fungi. RNAcentral also lists the same sequence under 1 other name. The record is from RNAcentral.
AAGUCGUAACAAGGUUUCCGUAGGUGAACCUGCGGAAGGAUCAUUACCUAGAGUUGUAGGCUUUGCCUGCUAUCUCUUACCCAUGUCUUUUGAGUACUUACGUUUCCUCGGCGGGUCCGCCCGCCGAUUGGACAAUUUAAACCAUUUGCAGUUGCAAUCAGCGUCUGAAAAACUUUAAUAGUUACAACUUUCAACAACGGAUCUCUUGGUUCUG